RNAcentral lists this ribosomal RNA (445 nucleotides) under uncultured bacterium. RNAcentral describes it as "partial 16S ribosomal RNA". It matches the Rfam family "Bacterial small subunit ribosomal RNA", at positions 354 to 796 of the family's 1533-position model. The record is from RNAcentral.
GUAAGGAAUAUUGGUCAAUGGACGAAAGUCUGAACCAGCCAUGCCGCGUGAAGGAUGAAGGCCCUCUGGGUUGUAAACUUCUUUUAUCUGGGACGAAAAAAGGGUAUUCUUACUCACUUGACGGUACCAGAGGAAUAAGCACCGGCUAACUCCGUGCCAGCAGCCGCGGUAAUACGGAGGGUGCAAGCGUUAUCCGGAUUCCCUGGGUUUAAAGGGUGCGUAGGUGGGUAUUUAAGUCAGUGGUGAAAUCACCGAUCUUAACUCGGAAACUGCCAUUGAUAAUAUUGACCUUGAAUGCCCUGGAGGUAAGCGGAAUAUGUCAUGUAGCGGUGAAAUGCUUAGAUAUGACAUAGAACACCAAUUGCGAAGGCAGCGUACUACGGGGUGAUUGACACUGAGGCACGAAAGCGUGGGGAGCAAACAGGAUUAGAUACCCCUGUAGUCC